CCUUCUGCGGCAGAGCUGGGGUCACCAGCCCUCAUGUACUUGUGACUUCUCCCCUGCCACAG
MicroRNA precursor from Aotus nancymaae (Ma's night monkey), 62 nucleotides. NCBI's taxonomy places the organism in Eukaryota, Metazoa, Chordata, Mammalia, Primates, Aotidae. The record is from Ensembl.